This 391-nucleotide ribosomal RNA is filed under the name uncultured bacterium. Its description in RNAcentral is "bacterial SSU rRNA". It matches the Rfam family "Bacterial small subunit ribosomal RNA", at positions 29 to 420 of the family's 1533-position model. The record is from RNAcentral.
AUUGAACGCUGGCGGAAUGCUUUACACAUGCAAGUCGGGCGGCAGCGCGGGGGGCAACCCUGGCGGCGAGCGGCGAACGGGUGAGUAACACAUCGGAACGUACCCUGUCGUGGGGGAUAACGAAUCGAAAGAUUCGCUAAUACCGCAUACGACCUGAGGGUGAAAGCGGGGGAUCGCAAGACCUCGCGCGAGAGGAGCGGCCGAUGGCGGAUUAGCUAGUUGGUGGGGUAAAGGCCCACCAAGGCGACGAUCCGUAGCGGGUCUGAGAGGACGGCCCGCCACACUGGGACUGAGACACGGCCCAGACUCCUACGGGAGGCAGCAGUGGGGAAUUUUGGACAAUGGGGGCAACCCUGAUCCAGCCAUUCCGCGUGAGUGAAGAAGGCCUCGG